Monodelphis domestica (gray short-tailed opossum) is the source of this 942-nucleotide non-coding RNA. The record is from RefSeq and is a predicted model, not a curated record. Lineage: Eukaryota; Metazoa; Chordata; Mammalia; Didelphimorphia; Didelphidae.
UUCUCUCCAUUCUAUAGACUGAUGAUCUGAAAACUUGAAGAGUAACAGAAAUCUUCUACUUUGGACAUUUAGUCUAAGGAUCAUAGAAAAAGAAGCAUGAUGUGAGUGUGGGCAUCAUAUUAAAGUGCAUGGAGAUUCAUUCAACAGUCAACUUUAACAGAGAAUAGGGCUUCCUCUCAUCUGUCUCUUUCCUCGGAGAGGUGACUCUGGCUGGCAGCGUACUAAGCAUUCUGACAUCUUGGUGUGGUGGCAGUGAGACCUGGACCAUCCAAGAUGAGUGAGCAUCAGACAGGAGGCAACAAAAUGAUGCACAACAUUUGAUGAAUGAGGGAGUCUAAAAGAGAAUAGGAGUAAAGGAUGUCAUCAAAGAACUGGAUGACAGAAAAAGGAGAGAUCUCAUGGUAAGAGCAAAGGAUGACAGGCUAAUGGCCACUAGUGUCUUAAUAAAGUCAUGAGAAACUGAACAUGGGCAACCAAGAUUAGAGGGGAAGCAACAAACUGGGAAAAAAUUUACAAUAAAUUUCUCUGAUAAAGAUCUUAUUUCUCAAAUAUAUAAAGAAUUAAAUCAAAUUUGUAAGAAGUCAAGUUGUUAAGUCAGUUGAUAAAUGGUAGAAGGAUAUAAACAGGGGUUUUCAGAUGAAGAAAUCAAAGCUAUCAAUUAUAAUAUAAAAAUUGUUCUAAAUCCCUUGAUCAGAGAAGUGCAAAUCAAAAUAACUCUGAGGUACCACCUCACAUCUAGCAGAUUGGCCAAUAUGACAGUAAAGGAAAAUAGUAAAUGUUGGAGGAUAUCUGGGAAAAUUGAUGCACUAAUGCAUAGCUGGUGGAGUUGUGAAUUGAUCCAACCAUUCUGGAAGGCAAUUUGAAAUUAUACCCAAAGGGCUUUAAAAAAUGCAUGACUGGGGGCAGCUGGGUUGCUCAGUAGAUUGAGAGUCAGGCCCAGAG